GAGGCCUAGAGGCUUGUUGGCUCUUUUCACCACAUGAGGACAUACCAGGAAAGCACCAUUUUUGAAGCCCACGGUGAUCAAAUAUUUAUCCCACAUUUGAAAUCAAAUCUGCUGAUGCCUUAAUCUUGGACUUCCCAGCUUCAGAACUGCCAACUCUGCCACCUCUGAGAUACAAGACCAGCCCCUUCUCUUCCUCCUCCUCCUUAGCCUACUCAGUGUGGAGAUGACACAGAUGUGACUUCCAUUUAAUGAAUAAGACACUUAUGGGACAGUUAAGAGCUUGGCAAGUAUCAGAAGGCCAGGAAAGAGUCUUUCUUCAUUGAAGGUCUCUGAUAAUGCCAGUGGAGUCUUGGAAUAUGGAACUUCCUCUGAAAUGAUGUAUGCCAAAGUCUGUGGAAGCAUGAAGGCGAAAAACACACUGGGAGAGAGGAUAAAAAGAAGAGCAGAACAAAAGUACCUCCUGUGUCUGCACUGCAGGCUCUCUGUGUCUUUAUAGAAUGGAUUUCCUGUUCAAUAAAUAAAGCGCUGGACACGGAACAUAUUGUGCAGAUAAACUGCUUAUAAUAAAUUUUAUAUUGUGGAAAUUUUUUAAAACAGAAAAUGCAGAUUUAGGAAAAAGUGGAGCUAAUCUUCAUUAAAAGAUUAAAAGAGGAACAAUAUUUUAAUAAAAAUGAUGUUUUGAAUAAAUUAGCCCAUAGUCCACAAUCUGAAAAUGGAAAGUAUUCUAGAACUUCAGAUUGUGGACUAUGGGCUAAUUUAUUCAAAAUUAAAUGCCAUGUCCCACAGAUGUCAUUAUUAAUUAAUUAAUUUCUCACUUAGUGGAAAUAAGUAAUUAAUAAUAACAUCUGUGGGACAUGAUAUUUGAGUGGCCACACAUUCUGGUAGCAAUGGGAAUCAAAUGAUAGGAUUCUAAUCCAGGUUUUGUCACUGACAUAGUGACCUCGGGCAAAAAUCCUUAGCAUUAUUGCCCUUGAGUUUUUAGUUAAUAUGGUAUAAUUCUAAAUUUCUCAAAUUUCAGAUUGAAUAUGAUGUGUGUGUGCGUGUGUGUGCGUGUGUGUGUGUGUUCCAUGUCACCUGCUCUUCUGUCUCUAACCCAUUGUUUCUCAUUCCUAGCUGCUCAUUAGAAUCACUUGGAUUAAAACUCACGGAUGCUUGAAAUUCAUCCAGAACAAUUAAAACUGAAUAAUAAGAUUGAUCUUAAAAGAUACAUUUUCACAAAAUCCUUUAUUAAGAGUCAACGUCUUCCCUCUUUUACAGGUGUGAUCAAGAAGCAUAAUCACAUGUUUUUAAGGAAUGCCAGUUUAUAACCAAUUUGAACUACUCGGUAGUUGUUAACUGAUUUUCUAACAUUUCAAACGAUGGUUUACUACCCUUGAAAAAACAGGAACUAGUAAGUCAUAUAUUGACCCCUCCACACCACCUUUAUUUCUGUAUACUCUAUUGCCUUUGCCCAUAAAAUAGAGAUUAGGUUAUUUAUGGUGUAUAUGUAAAUCUAUCAAGGAUUACACAGAUGUGAUUCUGUCUCAAAUUAUGAGUUGAAAAAGUUUUUGAUAUGACAAAAUAUGUAUAAAGUUAGCAGAGUGGAAGGAAAAAAGCAUAAUUAUGAAUUAUACACAUACUACUAUCAUUCAUGUAAAAUACUUAGAAAACAUCUGAGAAAAAUACAAUAAAAUGUAACAAUGAAUAUGAGAUUAUAAAUUUCUUUUUCUCUUUAUACUAUUAUUUGCUUUCCAUUUCUUUAGCAUGUGUGCAUAUUAUAUUUACAAAUAACACUUGAAUUUAAAAAAUAUAUAAUCUAAGUUCAAUGGAACACUCAUCUGAAAAACAUUUGGCUUAAUGCCAGAAUUUUCUUCAGGUUCAAAAAGAAGCCAAACUUCACAAUACACCUUCUUACUCUCUCUGUGUAAUUUUCUUUCAUACAUUCAUUGAAUGAGCUGCAGUUCAAUAGCUUUUGUGGUCUUCUUUUUCUCUCCACUUGGUGUGGUAUAAAAGAUAUUUCAAAAAAAUAAAUACAAGCAACUCAAUUGCUUGUUAAAUUUUAUGUUAAGGAUAUGUACUGAUCCAGCAAAAUUACCACAGACAGCCACACAUGCUGCUGAAAUGUAAGCUUCCCUGCCCACCUGUCUACAGGAAAAGCAAGUGGUGACUCAAAAUUGCUUUGCUCUUCUCUGACACUUCAGCUAGAAAACUAAGACCAAGGAACAGAAGUAUGCUAGGUUUUCCUUACACUCUUCUGUUUGCCUCAAGUAGAAGCGAAUCAUGAUAUGGAUUUAGAAUAAAUUAAAUACAGUCCAUUCAAGUAUCUGAAUGCACAGCUGGGAUUCAAAGGCUGUAGAUGCUACAUCUGUUGCUCUACCAGAAAGAUCUGUUAGUGAAUAGCUAGUGGUUUCAGCUGUAAGGAGUUCCGCAAUAUUACACCUCAAAUAUUAUGUAUAUUUUAGGUGAAUUUAAGCUUAAAGAAAAUAUCUUUUGCCCUUAAGGUGACAAAAUAGAUUUUUUUUGUUAUUCCCUUUCUCCCUCAGUUAUUUUCUGACAUCCGCAGCAGCAAAGGCGUUUUCAUAUACAAAAAAAAAAAGGCUAGUUUCUCUGACUUUACUUAGACUAGCAAAAAAGGGAAACCAAUACUUCCUUUUCCUCUAAAUAUCAGGAUUGGGAUUUGCUCUUCCAGUGGCUUUGCUUUUCUAUCAAGUAUCCCUCAUCAAACUGGUAGUAACAGCACCUGUUUUUAACCAAGGUGCUGGGCAUGAAACCUUCAUUUCUACUGAGGUUUUCCUCAGACUUAAAUACUUUGGCACUUUAAAAAGAAAUAGAUCAACAACCUCUGGAGACACAAGGCUUCUUUUGUUCUGUUGCUCUUUGUUCCUUUCCCUUUGUCCCUUCUGAGGACAUACAACAUCGUAGUGAUGUAAAGAACAGUUGCUAAAACUUGCUGAGAGGUCCAAGUAGCUAAGCAGGCUUGAAGAAUGUCGUCAUAGAUUCUCUUCCUCACCAGUCUUGUGACAAAUAUUUUCCUUUGGGUUGCUGUUUUCCACCAAAGGAUACUGAGCUACAGGGCAAUACUCUGAAGAAAGUAGUUAUUUUAUUCACCCUGAGUAUAUGCUCUAGUGAUGCAAUUUGUAGUCCAAUAAUUUAUGAAUUAGCACAGAUAUUAAUAUAGGGAGCAAUGUACUAUCCCAAAAAUUUAAAACCAGGAGUCUGUGCUGUAAAAUUAUAAUUAAAUGUUAUCUAAAUACAGGUUUAAAAAAACAGCAAUACACAGUUAAUCUAUGCUGUAGAAUUAUAAUUACGUGUUAUCUAAAUACAGUUAAAAAAAAAAAAAAAACAAGCAAUAUACAUCUAGGUGUCCUCAGCCUGAGGAGUGAAUGAAGGCUGGGGAAGGAGGAAGAGUAAAACAUAUGCUUACAUUGAAAGAGGAGGCAAAUAAGCCUAUCUUUUUCCUUCCUCCAAAUUUAAAUUAUCUUUUUUCUGACCAACUCAGUUACCAGAAUGAGGUCUUCAGUCUGCAUUAUACAUAAAUACAUAAUUUUAUUUCCCCAUAAGAGUUUCCCUACUUCCUGCUGAUGCACUGCAAUAUCUUUUUUUUAAUGGGAAUAAAAUCUUUCCCAUCCAUAUCUAGAAAUAAAAGCUUAGAAAACAUAUGUAGAUUUGAGCAAACAUUAACUAAAAAAUCAUUGCCACAGACUUUCUUUCAAGGUGCACAAAUGACUCAUGUCAGAUUGCUGUAUAGAACUCAGAAGGAAAGACCCUAAAGGAGUCCUUAUUGAGGGAGGAACAAAUGAGCUGCAAAGGGUCUGGUGGCAUUGAGGUCAUGAGUAGAUGAAUGACAUCAGAUCUCUGCUGAUUCUGGUAAGAGUGUGGGUACUAGCAAGCACAAAAGGUAAAAGGCUUUCUUCAUAAAGGAAUAGCUAGAGAAUGAACAAUUUUUAUGAUUUGGGAAUCCUGUACUUAGCUCCAACUCAGUAUGAAUAAGCAGAACCUGUGAUACCGUCUAAGCCAUGGAUUAUCCAGAGUUAUAGGACUCAUGCUAAUCAGCACUGCCACCAUAUCCUCACUGCCAAUCUCUCUUGCCUAGACUAUUGCAGUAGCCCUCCAAUUGGUCUUCAUCAUUAUUGUCCAUCUUGUGCUUCAACAUUGAAGCCACUUUUCUAAAAUGGAUACCUGAUAAGGAUGUUUUCAUGCUUAAAAUCUUUUAAUUUUCACUGAUUCAUAUAAAGAAUGAAACCCUGAGCAUUAUAUAGAUAGUGGUUCAGGCAGAAAUAUGUAACCUGUACCUAAUCAAGAGGAAAAAUUAGACAAACCCAAAAUGAGGACUAUUUUAUUAAAACAGUAGAAGAAAUGGGAAGACUUUAAAAAAAUUUCGGCUGGGCGUGGUGCCUCACGCCUGGAAUCCCAGCACUGUGGGAGGCUGAGGCAGGUGGAUCAUGAG
Molecule: long non-coding RNA, 4426 nt
Filed under: Homo sapiens (human)
Lineage: Eukaryota; Metazoa; Chordata; Mammalia; Primates; Hominidae
Description: HSALNT0064348
Source: RNAcentral